CUUCACAUAGGAAGAGACGGCUUGUCAAUAGGAUAGCAACUAGGCAUUGUUACCGCUCACAAUCAAGACAGCUUGCGAGCCUUGACCUCAUAUAGGAUAUCAACUAAACAGACAUCUUCUUAAUCUCAAGUUCUUUAUGGUCUGUGAUCUGGUUCAACAUACGAAACCAAAAAUAACUCGCUUUAGGGUAGGUCUUCGUCAUUUUUUUAAGCCAACCUUUUCUUUUUUUCUGCCUAGUUUCAGAGUAAAAUCACAGCUUUCAUAAUCAGCUUUAAGUUAAAAUUAAAGACGUGCAAAAUUCACAUAAAACUUACUUUGAACACCAAAUCAAAAUGCAGUUGUUUGGCUAGAACCGUAAACAUAGAUAAUCCACUCAGCAUUCUCUUCAUUAAGUCGAUACCUUGACAAGCAAGAUUUCAUCAUCAGCUGACAAUUUAUCAAACAACAUGCAGAUGCUCAGGCUGAAUAAAAACUUGAAAGAUAAAUAAACCAGAGGGGAAAAAGAUCUGCCUUCAAGAAAAAAACUUAAGCAACCAUUAUCUCCUUCAACUCUGCAAUAACUUGAGGGAGAUGUAAGGAUUGUAAAAGCCUUCUCCCUGGUUUCACAACACAGCCAAAAACGUGCAAUGAUUAUGAUAAUCACCACUUUGUGUAGAGAGAAAACGGCAUUGGUUUCGUACCUAUAGACAGGCUACAUGUACGAAACCAGUGAUUAGUAAACUUAAUAUGUUUUUGUUUGUAUUUGUGUGUGAAAUGAGUAGAUAUGAGAGAAGUAGUGAGCUGUUUGAUUGUUUCUUAUAGGUAAAGAACAAUGAAAUUGGAUGAUUUACAUGUGCUCAAGCAAACAUGAUUUGGCAGCCUAACCCAUACAUUUCUCCAAAUUAUUGUUUUUUUUUUUUUUUCCAUUAAAUUAUUUUUGUUAUUACUUUGGUAUUUUGAUUCAGUGUAUCAUUUUUUUAGUUUAUUAUUCGGCGUAUCUAGGCCUGGACAUUCGGGGUCCUAAUCGGGUUUCGGUUUAGUCCAAUCGGUUUUCGAUUUUCGGGUUUAUCAAAAUCAGCCCCAUUCGGGUUAUAUGAAAAUUCGGUUCGGGACCGGUUCGGGACCGGUUCGGGUUCUGUCGGAUUCGGAUCGGUUUAGUAAAUCUUCAAAGAACCGGUAGAACCCAAUGUACUUUCGGGUUCGGGUCCCAAUCGGUUCUUCGGUUUAAAUGUACCUGAUUUAUAUCUACUUUGUAACUAAAAUCGGUUCUUUGGUUUUAAAAUACUUGAUUUCUAUCUAUUUUGUAACCAAAACAUAAAUAAAAUCGUUUCAAAAAAAAAGAAAGGUACAUCAAAUGUGAUCAUUCAAAAUCAAGUGAAAGGUAAACAUAAUUAUUGAUCGAAAGAAAUCCAAAUAAAUGAAAGCACGGAACGAAAAUCAAGUUCUCAUGAAAUGAAAAACAUUAUUC
This 1447-nucleotide long non-coding RNA is filed under the name Brassica rapa (field mustard). RNAcentral's name for it is "long non-coding RNA (BRAP_LNC001770)". Lineage: Eukaryota; Viridiplantae; Streptophyta; Magnoliopsida; Brassicales; Brassicaceae. The record is from RNAcentral.